CGGAACGGGUGAGUAACGCGUGAGGAACCUGCCUCAAAGAGGGGGACAACAGUUGGAAACGACUGCUAAUACCGCAUAAGCCCACGGCUCGGCAUCGAGCAGAGGGAAAAGGAGCAAUCCGCUUUGAGAUGGCCUCGCGUCCGAUUAGCUAGUUGGUGAGGUAACCGCCCACCAAGGCGACGAUCGGUAGCCGGACUGGGAGGUUGAACGGCCACAUUGGGACUGAGACACGGCCCAG
Molecule: ribosomal RNA, 238 nt
Filed under: uncultured bacterium
Lineage: Bacteria
Description: partial 16S ribosomal RNA
Rfam family: Bacterial small subunit ribosomal RNA
Source: RNAcentral